AGAGUUUGAUCCUGGCUCAGAUUGAACGCUGGCGGCAUGCCUUACACAUGCAAGUCGAACGGUAACAGCACUUCGGCGGCUGACGAGUGGCGAACGGGUGAGUAAUACAUCGGAACGUGCCCGAGAGUGGGGGAUAACGCAGCGAAAGCUGUGCUAAUACCGCAUACGAUCUACGGAUGAAAGCAGGGGAUUCGCAAGGACCUUGCGCUCAUGGAGCGGCCGAUGGCAGAUUAGGUAGUUGGUGGGAUAAAAGCUUACCAAGCCGACGAUCUGUAGCUGGUCUGAGAGGACGACCAGCCACACUGGGACUGAGACACGGCCCAGACUCCUACGGGAGGCAGCAGUGGGGAAUUUUGGACAAUGGGCGAAAGCCUGAUCCAGCCAUGCCGCGUGCAGGAUGAAGGCCUUCGGGUUGUAAACUGCUUUUGUACGGAACGAAAAGAUCUCUUCUAAUAAAGGGGGUCCAUGACGGUACCGUAAGAAUAAGCACCGGCUAACUACGUGCCAGCAGCCGCGGUAAUACGUAGGGUGCAAGCGUUAAUCGGAAUUACUGGGCGUAAAGCGUGCGCAGGCGGUUAUAUAAGACAGAUGUGAAAUCCCCGGGCUCAACCUGGGAACUGCAUUAGUGACUGUAUAGCUAGAGUGCGGCAGAGGGGGAUGGAAUUCCGCGUGUAGCAGUGAAAUGCGUAGAUAUGCGGAGGAACACCGAUGGCGAAGGCGGCUGCCUGGACCGAUACUGACGCUGAGACG
RNAcentral lists this ribosomal RNA (750 nucleotides) under uncultured bacterium. RNAcentral describes it as "bacterial SSU rRNA". It matches the Rfam family "Bacterial small subunit ribosomal RNA", at positions 8 to 753 of the family's 1533-position model. The record is from RNAcentral.